CAGCAGCCGUGUUGCCAGCUCGAAGUUUUGGUCUCCGGGCGUCACUUUUGGAUUGGGUGGUAUAAAGCAAUCCCGUUGGGGUGUAAAAAAGGUUCUGCGCGGGAUGAAGGUGGGAUAAUUUGACAACCCGUCUGGCGACAUUGGGUUUUACAAGGGUAACAGGAGGCCCUUGACGGAUGUUUGAACAAGUGUUUCGAUUUUCGUCUGGAUCCGUCAGACAAUGUAUGCUUUUGUAGGAAAAAAACAACAACGUCACAUUGUAUGCGUGGAGUUCGAUGUGCUGGCAGUCAGUCGGUGCCACACGGAAGUAAUUUCAGUUGAAUUUUAAAUACGGUUCGAGAAACAUAUAGCUUCUGACAGAGAUGGAUAUCGAUUGGUAUCAAACGUUAACGUUUUUGAUAAUGGCAAUGUUGUGGUAUCCGUUCAGGUUCCUUCUGAGAAAGUUUUGCUUGAAAUAAGACCAUUAUCACGCACUACCAUGUGGCUCCACGGCUCACUUGGAUGACCCAAUUCGGCCAGGUACACAACAUUCUCCCCGCUUCCUACGAGCUCUUCGACUGUACACAAAAUCUUGUUCCAAAAAUACUGUAAUCAAUAAAAUCGAAGUAAUCCUUUCCUCGCGAAACACAAAUAAAACCUGCUAAACCUUAA
This is a long non-coding RNA of Ochlerotatus camptorhynchus, 651 nucleotides long. RefSeq lists it as uncharacterized. NCBI's taxonomy places the organism in Eukaryota, Metazoa, Arthropoda, Insecta, Diptera, Culicidae. The transcript is spliced from 2 exons. The record is from RefSeq and is a predicted model, not a curated record.